RNAcentral lists this unclassified non-coding RNA (225 nucleotides) under uncultured Aphanobasidium. RNAcentral describes it as "sequence contains ITS2". Lineage: Eukaryota; Fungi; Basidiomycota; Agaricomycetes; Agaricales; Pterulaceae. The record is from RNAcentral.
AAUUCUCAACUUCCAACGGUUUCUUUGCAGAUCGUCUUUGGAGGAUUGGAUGUGAGGGCUUUGCCGGCUUUUACGAGUCGGCUCCCUUAAAAAGUCUCAGUGUUGUCUCUUGCUGACGCAACGCCCCCUCGGUGUGAUAAUCUAUCUAUGCCGUGUGUUGGGAGGUCAGACAUUUUGUGAGCAGCGCUUCUAACCGUCUGGUUUUUCCGGACAAGUUAUUCAUGA